GACGAACGCUGGCGGCGUGCUUAACACAUGCAAGUCGAACGCUGAAGCACCAGCUUGCUGGUGUGGAUGAGUGGCGAACGGGUGAGUAAUACGUGAGUAACCUGCCCUUGACUCUGGGAUAAGCCCGGGAAACUGGGUCUAAUACUGGAUGCUACAUGUCACCGCAUGGUGGUGUGUGGAAAGGGUUUACUGGUCUUGGAUGGGCUCACGGCCUAUCAGCUUGUUGGUGAGGUAAUGGCUCACCAAGGCGACGACGGGUAGCCGGCCUGAGAGGGUGACCGGCCACACUGGGACUGAGACACGGCCCAGACUCCUACGGGAGGCAGCAGUGGGGAAUAUUGCACAAUGGGCGAAAGCCUGAUGCAGCGACGCCGCGUGAGGGAUGACGGCCUUCGGGUUGUAAACCUCUUUCAGCAGGGAAGAAGCCACAAGUGACGGUACCUGCAGAAGAAGCGCCGGCUAACUACGUGCCAGCAGCCGGCAGUAA
Molecule: ribosomal RNA, 487 nt
Filed under: uncultured bacterium
Lineage: Bacteria
Description: partial 16S ribosomal RNA
Rfam family: Bacterial small subunit ribosomal RNA
Source: RNAcentral